GCCGGGCGCAGUGGUGGGCGCCUGUAGUCCCAGCUACUUGGGAGGCUGAGGUAGGAGAAUGGCGUGAACCCGGGAGGCGGAGCUUGCAGUGAGCCCGGCUCACUGCAAGCUCUGCCUCCCGGGUUCAUGCCAUUCUCCUGCCUCAG
Molecule: non-coding RNA, 146 nt
Filed under: Chlorocebus sabaeus (green monkey)
Lineage: Eukaryota; Metazoa; Chordata; Mammalia; Primates; Cercopithecidae
Source: Rfam by way of RNAcentral